Molecule: ribosomal RNA, 429 nt
Filed under: Chloroflexota bacterium
Lineage: Bacteria; Bacillati; Chloroflexota
Description: Chloroflexi bacterium partial 16S ribosomal RNA
Rfam family: Bacterial small subunit ribosomal RNA
Source: RNAcentral
UGGGGAAUAUUGCACAAUGGGCGCAAGCCUGAUGCAGCCAUGCCGCGUGUGUGAAGAAGGCCUUCGGGUUGUAAAGCACUUUCAGCGGGGAGGAAGGCGUUAAGGUUAAUAACCUUGGCGAUUGACGUUACCCGCAGAAGAAGCACCGGCUAACUCCGUGCCAGCAGCCGCGGUAAUACGGAGGGUGCAAGCGUUAAUCGGAAUUACUGGGCGUAAAGCGCACGCAGGCGGUCUGUCAAGUCGGAUGUGAAAUCCCCGGGCUCAACCUGGGAACUGCAUUCGAAACUGGCAGGCUAGAGUCUUGUAGAGGGGGGUAGAAUUCCAGGUGUAGCGGUGAAAUGCGUAGAGAUCUGGGGGAAUACCGGUGGCGAAGGCGGCCCCCUGGACAAAGACAGACGCUCAGGUGCGAAAGCGUGGGGAGCAAACAGG